Molecule: non-coding RNA, 142 nt
Filed under: Nomascus leucogenys (northern white-cheeked gibbon)
Lineage: Eukaryota; Metazoa; Chordata; Mammalia; Primates; Hylobatidae
Source: Rfam by way of RNAcentral
GCCGGGCAUGGUAGUGCAUGCCUGUAGUCCCAGCUACUUGGGAGGUUGAGGUAUGAGGAUCCCUUGAGUCUAGGAGGUCAAGGCUGCAGUGAGCUGUGCCACUGCACUCCAGCCUGGGCAACAGAAUGAGACCCUACCUCAA